Molecule: ribosomal RNA, 440 nt
Filed under: uncultured bacterium
Lineage: Bacteria
Description: partial 16S ribosomal RNA
Rfam family: Bacterial small subunit ribosomal RNA
Source: RNAcentral
CCUACGGGGGGCAGCAGUAGGGAAUAUUGCUCAAUGGGGGAAACCCUGAAGCAGCAACGCCGCGUGGAGGAUGAAGGUUUUCGGAUUGUAAACUCCUUUUGUUAGAGAAGAUAAUGACGGUAUCUAACGAAUAAGCACCGGCUAACUCCGUGCCAGCAGCCGCGGUAAUACGGAGGGUGCAAGCGUUACUCGGAAUCACUGGGCGGAAAGAGCGCGGAGGCGGGAUAGCAAGUCAGAUGUGAAAUCCUAUGGCUUAACCAUAGAACUGCAUUUGAAACUGUUAUUCUAGAGUAUGGGAGAGGUAGGUGGAAUUCUUGGUGUAGGGGUAAAAUCCGUAGAGAUAAAGAGGAAUACUCAUUGCGAAGGCGACCUGCUAGAACAUAACUGACGCUGAUGCGCGAAAGCGUGGGGAGCAAACAGGAUUAGAUACCCGAGUAGUC